AAGUUCAACAAGGGUCACCGUACCCGUUUCAUAGAGAAUGGAGUGAUGCUGCCGCCACUGCGGAUGAGGGCUCACAAGACGACAGUUAAGAUGGAGUACGAUGAGCGAUACACACCGUUCUUCAGGAGAGCCCGACUAUUGGGUUUCGUCCUGCAAUUCAAGCGUAAGCCGCCGACGCUCGUCCACUCAGCUCUCACGGUUUUGAUCGACCGAUGGCGGCCAGAGACGCACAACUUCCAUCUUCCAUGUGGGGAGAUGACCGUGAUCCUCCAGGAUUGGGGGAUGAUUAUGGACCUACCGUUCUAG
This 306-nucleotide ribosomal RNA is filed under the name Triticum aestivum (bread wheat). Its description in RNAcentral is "partial small subunit ribosomal RNA". Lineage: Eukaryota; Viridiplantae; Streptophyta; Magnoliopsida; Poales; Poaceae. The record is from RNAcentral.